CAUGUAUAUAGUUAUUAUUUUCUCUUUAUGUUUUAAAUAUGUUAGUCUGGGAGUUCAUCAUGUACUAUCAAGAGUUGCUUUUACAGUAGAAAUAGACAGAGAUGAAUCCGCAUGCAUUGUCUAUUUGUAUUGCUAAAAUUAUUCUGUAUCACAUCUGUAGAUGCCAUUCUCUGGAAUGCAUGAUGUUGCUCCUUAAUAUUAUCCUUCUCGGGGCAGAAGCUUUAAUGAUUCUGAACCUUAUAUUAACAACAAACAAAGAAGAAAGGGCUCGGUUACCAGAAAACAACCUCCUGAAAAUUUUUACAGCUGACAAAGAGAAAGCCAGUUUGUGGUGCACAAGAGACCACUUAACAAAAAGGAAUUGGCAAUGAAUGAGGAAGACAUAAUAGACACACUUUCCAACUCUGUAACAGUUCAUGAGACUAAGCUCAAGGUUGACAACAUAUGUGGAGAAACAUGAGUUUGUUUUUGAUGCAGUGCUGAAUGAGGAAGUGUCUAAUGAUGAGGCUUUGUGCUCAACUUGGAAGGAUGAUGGGGCGACUGUCUUCUCUUGAGGCUGUGACAAGCAAGCUAAGAUGUGG
Molecule: long non-coding RNA, 581 nt
Organism: Rosa chinensis
Lineage: Eukaryota; Viridiplantae; Streptophyta; Magnoliopsida; Rosales; Rosaceae
Exons: 4
Source: RefSeq, a predicted model, not a curated record